This 409-nucleotide ribosomal RNA is filed under the name uncultured bacterium. Its description in RNAcentral is "bacterial SSU rRNA". It matches the Rfam family "Bacterial small subunit ribosomal RNA", at positions 28 to 416 of the family's 1533-position model. The record is from RNAcentral.
GACGAACGCUGGCGGCGUGCUUAACACAUGCAAGUCGAGCGAAGUAAUCUUAAAUGAAAUUUUCGGAUGGAAUGAGAGAUUAUCUUAGCGGCGGACGGGUGAGUAACGCGUGAGAAACCUGCCUUUCAUUAAGGGAUAGCCUCGGGAAACUGGGAUUAAUACCGUAUGAUACUCCAUACUCGCAUGAGAGUGAAGUUAAAGCGUAAAGUGAUGAAAGAUGGUCUCGCGUCCCAUUAGUUAGUUGGUGAGGUAACGGCUCACCAAGACCGCGAUGGGUAGCCGGCCUGAGAGAGUGAACGGCCACACUGGAACUGAGACACGGUCCAGACUCCUACGGGAGGCAGCAGUGGGGAAUAUUGCACAAUGGAGGAAACUCUGAUGCAGCGACGCCGCGUGAACGAUGAAGGCC